This 469-nucleotide ribosomal RNA is filed under the name uncultured organism. Its description in RNAcentral is "bacterial SSU rRNA". It matches the Rfam family "Bacterial small subunit ribosomal RNA", at positions 28 to 507 of the family's 1533-position model. The record is from RNAcentral.
GAUGAACGCUAGCGGCAGGCUUAAUACAUGCAAGGCGAAGGGUCAGCAAUGACACUGUCGUACGGGUGCGUAACGCGUAUGCAACCUACCUAUCACUGGGGGAUAGCCCGGGGAAACCCGGAUUAAUACCGCAUAACACAGGGGCUCCACAUGGAGAUAUUUGUUAAAGAUUUAUCGGUGGUAGAUGGGCAUGCGUUCGAUUAGCUAGUUGGUAGGGUAACGGCCUACCAAGGCGACGAUCGAUAGGGGAGCUGAGAGGUUGAUCCCCCACACGGGCACUGAGAUACGGGCCCGACUCCUACGGGAGGCAGCAGUAGGGAAUAUUGGGCAAUGGAUGCAAGUCUGACCCAGCCAUGCCGCGUGCCGGAAGAAGGCCCUCAGGGUUGUAAACGGCUUUUAUUCGGGAAGAAGAGCAGGGAUGCGUCCUUGUGUGACGGUACCGAAUGAAUAAGCACCGGCUAACUCCGUG